UACGUAGGGUGCAAGCGUUAAUCGGAAUUACUGGGCCUAAAGCGUGGGCAGGCGGUUUUGUAAGUCUGUCGUGAAAGCCCCGGGCUCAACCUGGGAAUUGCGAUGGAGACUGCAAGGCUUGAAUCUGGCAGAGGGGGGUAGAAUUCCACGUGUAGCAGUGAAAUGCGUAGAGAUGUGGAGGAACACCGAUGGCGAAGGCAG
This 201-nucleotide ribosomal RNA is filed under the name uncultured bacterium. RNAcentral's name for it is "partial 16S ribosomal RNA". It matches the Rfam family "Bacterial small subunit ribosomal RNA", at positions 524 to 724 of the family's 1533-position model. The record is from RNAcentral.